UUGGAUAUAGCUCAAUAGUAGAGCACUUGCUUAGCAUGCAGAAGAUCCUGGGUUUAAUCUCCAGUGCCAGAG
This 72-nucleotide transfer RNA is filed under the name Heterocephalus glaber (naked mole-rat). It matches the Rfam family "tRNA". From Rfam's summary of the family: Transfer RNA (tRNA) molecules are approximately 80 nucleotides in length. Their secondary structure includes four short double-helical elements and three loops (D, anti-codon, and T loops). Further hydrogen bonds mediate the characteristic L-shaped molecular structure. tRNAs have two regions of fundamental functional importance: the anti-codon, which is responsible for specific mRNA codon recognition, and the 3' end, to which the tRNAs corresponding amino acid is attached (by aminoacyl-tRNA synthetases). tRNAs cope with the degeneracy of the genetic code in two manners: having more than one tRNA (with a specific anti-codon) for a particular amino acid; and 'wobble' base-pairing, i.e. permitting non-standard base-pairing at the 3rd anti-codon position. The record is from Rfam by way of RNAcentral. Lineage: Eukaryota; Metazoa; Chordata; Mammalia; Rodentia; Bathyergidae.